UACGAAAGGUGCAAGUGUUGUUCGGAUUUACUGGGCGUAAAGAGAGUGUAGGUGGUUUAUUAAGUCGGAUGUGAAAUCCCGGGGCUCAACCUCGGAACUGCAUUCGAUACUGAUAGGCUAGAGUUUGGGAGGGGUAAGCGGAAUUCCGUGUGUAGCAGUGAAAUGCGUAGAUAUACGGAGGAACACCUGAGGCGAAGGCGGCUUACUGGACCAAUACUGACACUGAGACUCGAAAGCGUGGGUAGCAAACAGGAUUAGAAACCCUGGUAGUCC
This 273-nucleotide ribosomal RNA is filed under the name uncultured bacterium. RNAcentral's name for it is "partial 16S ribosomal RNA". It matches the Rfam family "Bacterial small subunit ribosomal RNA", at positions 524 to 796 of the family's 1533-position model. The record is from RNAcentral.